RNAcentral lists this ribosomal RNA (500 nucleotides) under uncultured Glomeromycotina. RNAcentral's name for it is "partial small subunit ribosomal RNA". It matches the Rfam family "Eukaryotic small subunit ribosomal RNA", at positions 591 to 1092 of the family's 1831-position model. Lineage: Eukaryota; Fungi; Glomeromycota. The record is from RNAcentral.
CCAAUAGCGUAUAUUAAAGUUGUUGCAGUUAAAAAGCUCGUAGUUGAACUUCGGGAUCAAUGGAUCGGUCAUGCCAUCGGUAUGUACUGGUCUCAUUGGUUCUCACCUUCUAAGGAACCAUAAUGUCAUUCAUUUGAUGUUUUGGGGAAUUAGGACUGUUACCUUGAAAAAAUUAGAGUGUUUAAAGCAGGCUAACGCUUGAAUACAUUAGCAUGGAAUAAUGAAAUAGGACAUCGCAUUCUAUUUUGUUGGUUUCUAGGAUCGAUGUAAUGAUUAAUAGGGAUAGUUGGGGGCAUUAGUAUUCAAUUGUCAGAGGUGAAAUUCUUGGAUUUAUUGAAGACUAACUACUGCGAAAGCAUUUGCCAAGGAUGUUUUCAUUAAUCAAGAACGAAAGUUAGGGGAUCGAAGACGAUCAGAUACCGUCGUAGUCUUAACCAUAAACUAUGCCGACUAGGGAUCGGAUGAUGUUGAUUUUUUAAUGACUCACUCGGCACCUUACG